RNAcentral lists this transfer RNA (56 nucleotides) under Strigamia maritima. It matches the Rfam family "tRNA". Rfam says of the family: Transfer RNA (tRNA) molecules are approximately 80 nucleotides in length. Their secondary structure includes four short double-helical elements and three loops (D, anti-codon, and T loops). Lineage: Eukaryota; Metazoa; Arthropoda; Chilopoda; Geophilomorpha; Linotaeniidae. The record is from Rfam by way of RNAcentral.
UCCCAUGUUGUCUGGCUCUCACCCAGAAGGCCCGGGUUCGAUUCCCGGCAUGAGAU